UGGGGAAUAUUGGACAAUGGGCGCAAGCCUGAUCCAGCAAUGCCGCGUGGGUGAAGAAGGCCUGCGGGUUGUAAAGCCCUUUUAGUGGUGAAGAGCGUAGCGGGGUGAAUAAUUCCGUUACUAGACGUUAGCCACAGAAAAAGCACCGGCUAACUCCGUGCCAGCAGCCGCGGUAAUACGGAGGGUGCAAGCGUUAAUCGGAAUUACUGGGCGUAAAGCGCACGUAGGUGGUUCAGUCAGUCAGAUGUGAAAGCCCUGGGCUCAACCUGGGAAUGGCAUUUGAAACUGCUGAGCUAGAGUACGGUAGAGGGUAGUGGAAUUCCGGGUGUAGCGGUGAAAUGCGUAGAUAUCCGGAGGAACACCAGUGGCGAAGGCGGCUAUCUGGACCGAUACUGACACU
Molecule: ribosomal RNA, 400 nt
Filed under: uncultured bacterium
Lineage: Bacteria
Description: bacterial SSU rRNA
Rfam family: Bacterial small subunit ribosomal RNA
Source: RNAcentral